Long non-coding RNA from Bos taurus (domestic cattle), 1122 nucleotides. The record is from Ensembl. Lineage: Eukaryota; Metazoa; Chordata; Mammalia; Artiodactyla; Bovidae.
GACCCGGAAAGAGAAACUCGCAGGAAGCAUCUAGCGAGCAGGCGAGGCGGCUGUCUCCUAGGGACUGCAGCACGCCAGGCCUCCCUGUCCAUCACCAACUCCUGGAGUUUACUCAAACUCAUAUCCAUUGCAUCGGUCAUGCCAUCCCACCAUCUCAUCCUCUGUCGUCCUCUUCUCCUGCCUUCAAUCUUUCCCAGGAUCAGGGUCUUUUCCAAUGAGUUGGUUCUUUGCAUCAGGUGGCUAAAGUAUUGGAGGUUCAGCUUCAGCAUCAGUCCUUCCAGUGAAUAUUCAUGACUGAUUUCCUUUAGGAUGGACUGAUUGGAUCUCCUUGCAGUCCAAGGGCCUCUCAAGAGUCUUCUCCAGCACCACAGUUCAAAAGCAUCAAUUCGGCGCUCAAGCUUUAUAGUCCAACUCUCACAUCCAUACAUGACUACUGGAAAAAUCAUAGCUUUGAGUAGAUGGACCUUUGUUAGUCUAUUCAAUUUCUGUUAAAAAGUAGUUCAAAUCUUGUGUGCGUGUAUCUGUAUGUAUCCCUAGGUUUCACGGGGCAGCUCUUAAAAUUUCUGUGUAUGAACAGUAACAUCCUGUGGCAGAUGUAGUAAUUUGUACAACUACUGUGUCAUGUGGAAUUUGUUUUCUCUUCUCUCCCUCGUGACUUCUCUCCUUUAAAAGGAAACCUAUGCAGACAUAUUGUUGGAAUCUUAGACCAAAGUAUGGAGGAAACAAGUGACAUUUAGGACAGUGAAACUGUUGAAGAUCUCUUCCAGCUAAACAGGUGGUUGCUGGCAACCCUGCAAGCAAACAAACUGAAGCCAGGAGGAGAGCACCCAUCCAUGGGGACCAGCCACGACCUCGAAAAAGGCUGAACCCCCACAGGAAGGCGGGCCUGUCCUCCUCUUGGCCCAGGCCAGCUCCGAGCUCACUGCAGGGAAGGAGGCAAGCUCACUGCAAGACUGAAGAGAAGCAGGGGCGGGAAAGGAGUCCCUCUGCCCAGAUGCCCCAGGAGAGAAGCCCUGGCCUGCGUGUGCCUCUCAGGGCACUCUGGACUCUCCUGCCUGCAGAAGCAGGAUUUGGGUAGAAUGGGCCAUGGUGGGCACCCAUGUUACCUGGGAAAAGUUAUUC